Small nucleolar RNA from Anguilla rostrata (American eel), 330 nucleotides. Lineage: Eukaryota; Metazoa; Chordata; Actinopteri; Anguilliformes; Anguillidae. The record is from RefSeq and is a predicted model, not a curated record.
GCCCAGUGAUGAGACCAAGGCGAAUGCGAGGCAGUUGGCUGAGAGGGUCAGGGUCUCCCAGCUCCUAAUUGGUGGGUAAUCUUGGCAGGGCAGCGGAGAUUUGCUGCUCUGCUGUAAGGGCCCACCCACAGUAAGGAAGCUCCGCCCCCCUCGCACUUGCCUCCUGAGAUUGAGGAGGGGGUGGGGGGGGGGGAGCUGACAGUGUGAGUGUGUUGCCUGUCGUGUGUUUGUGCGUCUGCGGUGUGUGUGUGUUUACGUUGGGAGGCUGGGAGGCUCCCCUCUGUAAGCAGCCAGUGACCUAUGAGCGGCUUCUUUGGUAAUCUGAGGGCA